RNAcentral lists this ribosomal RNA (783 nucleotides) under Triticum aestivum (bread wheat). Its description in RNAcentral is "partial small subunit ribosomal RNA". Lineage: Eukaryota; Viridiplantae; Streptophyta; Magnoliopsida; Poales; Poaceae. The record is from RNAcentral.
AUGGCGCUGCUUUGGUCCUUGUGGAAAAACAGGAACGCUUGUUUUAGAAAUAUCUUUCUGUAUGAUCCAAUUGUGCAGAUGGCUCACUGGUUAUCAUGCUGGGUUGGACUUCGGAGAGCAGGUUUGCGCGAUAGACAGCGCCAAGGGGCAAAGCGGCUGCUGCAAGUUGCGGCUUAUAUCUUCGCAUUGACAGCUGAUGGUCUUGUUUGGAAACCAUCUGAAGCUGCAGAAUAUCGAGCUAUAGAAGUUGCUUUUGUUAAGGUUGUUGGUGUCGCUGUUUUACAGGGGCUCCAGUCAUAUCUUCUGGCUCAACCAGUUACUUGUUUCAGCCGGCCACUACGUAUACACAACGUGCCUAUAUAUAAACGCUUUCGCAGAAAAUCAAGGUGGAGCGGCCGCACCACCUCGCCCUACCGGCUCCUCCGCCCUGCCACAUUUCUGACAGCAUGUGUCAAUAACGAAGGAGAAGCACCAAUGACGAAUGCUCCACCAAUGAACCUGGUCAUGAGCAAGCGUUGCUGCAAUGAUCAUGCCCCCCCUAAGCUAGAGAUAUGCAAGCGUGUUGUCUUAGUCUUGGAGUUGGCUUAUAUCUUCAAAUUACCGGCUAAUGGUCUUGUUUGGAAACCAUACGGAGCUGCAGAAUAUCGUCGCUGGAAGGAGAAGCGGCCGCGGCGGUGCACGAAUGACAGGCUCACCAUAUACUCUGCUGAUGAGCUUGGAUUCGGCAAGGCCUACGCCAAGGGCACUGCUCUCUGCCCUUUCGACUGCGACUGCUGCUUCUGA